UACGAAGGGGGCUAGCGUUGCUCGGAAUCACUGGGCGUAAAGCGCACGUAGGCGGCUUUUUAAGUCAGGGGUGAAGUCCUGGAGCUCAACUCCAGAACUGCCUUUGAUACUGAGAAGCUCGAGUCCGGGAGAGGUGAGUGGAACUGCGAGUGUAGAGGUGAAAUUCGUAGAUAUUCGCAAGAACACCAGUGGCGAAGGCGGCUCACUGGCCCGGUACUGACGCUGAGGUGCGAAAGCGUGGGGAGCAAACAGG
RNAcentral lists this ribosomal RNA (253 nucleotides) under uncultured bacterium. Its description in RNAcentral is "partial 16S ribosomal RNA". It matches the Rfam family "Bacterial small subunit ribosomal RNA", at positions 524 to 776 of the family's 1533-position model. The record is from RNAcentral.